UCAACGGCACGCGGGACAGCGGCGCUGCAUGAGCGCCCCUGGUGCGGGCGGCCAGGAGCCGUGCUGGUGGCGGUGGGGCGCGGCCGCAGGAGGCGAGCGCGACACUGGGGAGGGGGGCAUCACGGUGCACCUGGUGAGUUCUCCGCGUGGCUCAAUGGGGCCGCUAAGCAGGUCGCAGCGCACCGCCCCUCGGCCCAUCGCCGCCGACAAGCUCCCCGCCACGGUGGAGGAUGGAGCGC
Molecule: long non-coding RNA, 239 nt
Filed under: Setaria italica (foxtail millet)
Lineage: Eukaryota; Viridiplantae; Streptophyta; Magnoliopsida; Poales; Poaceae
Description: long non-coding RNA (SITA_LNC003866)
Source: RNAcentral